This 233-nucleotide ribosomal RNA is filed under the name uncultured bacterium. Its description in RNAcentral is "partial 16S ribosomal RNA". It matches the Rfam family "Bacterial small subunit ribosomal RNA", at positions 299 to 526 of the family's 1533-position model. The record is from RNAcentral.
GCCGUCCCCCUUCCCGUCCGGCCCGACCUACCUACGACUCCUACGGACGUGGCAGCAGUAAGGAAUAUUGGUCAAUGGGCGGAAGCCUGAACCAGCCAUGCCGCGUGCAGGAAGACGGCCCUACGGGUUGUAAACUGCUUUUGCAGGGGAAUAAAAUCCCGGAACGCGUUCCGGGGCUGAAUGUACUCUGAGAAUAAGGAUCGGCUAACUCCGUGCCAGCAGCCGCGUAAUAC